Molecule: long non-coding RNA, 483 nt
Filed under: Ananas comosus (pineapple)
Lineage: Eukaryota; Viridiplantae; Streptophyta; Magnoliopsida; Poales; Bromeliaceae
Description: long non-coding RNA (ACOM_LNC011896)
Source: RNAcentral
AAACGUCUAUUGCUGCUAUAAAUAUAAUUUAUUUUUGAAAACUAAAAUGAUAUACCUUAUAUUUCAAGUCAGAAAUUGCAACUAAUUAAAGUUUGAGGAUAAAAGUGUCGCAUGUCUCAUAGCUUAAAUCAUAACAUAUAUAAUAAAGUUCGAGUAUUAAAGUGUCAUUCAUCUUAUAGUUUUAAAACAAAAAGUAUAAAUCCAGUCUUUCAAAAUUUUAUUUUUAUUAUCCAACUUUUCUAUAUAUUAGAUUUGAGUCGGUCAAUGGUAUUUUAAUUUUAAAAAUCUGAAUGUAUCGCUUAGCUCUACAUAUUUAAUUAGUAUGUUUUAUGCGAUUUUCACAACUAAAAUUUGUAAAAUAUAAAAUUAACUUAAACUCCAUUUUUAAAUAUACAAUUUAUAUCUAAAUGCUCAAUAUUAUAAAUUAAAAUUUAUAUUUAAUACAAAUAGUCUAAACUAUUUAAAACUUAUUUACAUAUUUUA